GACGAACGCUGGCGGCGUGCUUAACACAUGCAAGUCGAACGGAAAGGCCCUGCUUUUGUGGGGUGCUCGAGUGGCGAACGGGUGAGUAACACGUGAGUAACCUGCCCUUGACUUUGGGAUAACUUCAGGAAACUGGGGCUAAUACCGGAUAGGAGCUCCUGCUGCAUGGUGGGGGUUGGAAAGUUUCGGCGGUUGGGGAUGGACUCGCGGCUUAUCAGCUUGUUGGUGGGGUAGUGGCUUACCAAGGCUUUGACGGGUAGCCGGCCUGAGAGGGUGACCGGCCACAUUGGGACUGAGAUACGGCCCAGACUCCUACGGGAGGCAGCAGUGGGGAAUAUUGCACAAUGGGCGGAAGCCUGAUGCAGAAACGCCGCGGGCGGGAUGACGGCCUUCGGGUUGUAAACCGCUUUCGCCUGUGACGAAGCGUGAGUGACGGUAAUGGGUAAAGAAGCACCGGCUAACUACGUG
This 468-nucleotide ribosomal RNA is filed under the name uncultured bacterium. RNAcentral's name for it is "partial 16S ribosomal RNA". It matches the Rfam family "Bacterial small subunit ribosomal RNA", at positions 28 to 507 of the family's 1533-position model. The record is from RNAcentral.